GUAUACGUAAUUUAAAAAAAAUACCAAGCUGUGACCUUGACAUUAGGAGCCAUCCUCAUAUACCC
This 65-nucleotide transfer RNA is filed under the name Elaphe taeniura (beauty snake). Its description in RNAcentral is "tRNA-His". Lineage: Eukaryota; Metazoa; Chordata; Lepidosauria; Squamata; Colubridae. The record is from RNAcentral.